Molecule: long non-coding RNA, 1511 nt
Filed under: Zostera marina
Lineage: Eukaryota; Viridiplantae; Streptophyta; Magnoliopsida; Alismatales; Zosteraceae
Description: long non-coding RNA (ZMAR_LNC002786)
Source: RNAcentral
UAAAAUAAAUUUUUGGAUAUUACACUUAUAAAGGUAAUUAAUAGUUUAUUAAGUUUAUAAAUAACAAUUAUUAAGUACUAAUAAUAUUAUUAAAUAUUUAAUCGAAAUUAUCAAUCGAAUUCGGAUUUUAACGACGGAUGUUUGUAGAUAUUCGAAUAUUUUCGGAUAAUUUUUUACAAAAAAUAUCAGUUCUCAAAUGAGAACUAAAUCUCAACCUUCCAUUUUCUUCCAAACCGUUGUUUUUCAAGCUCUAACAACCGGUGACACACUCUCUCAUCUUGUACUGUUUCGUUCAUUUUUUUAAUCCUUUUUAUUCACCGUUAUUCACCUCUCUUUUUUCACGUUUUCGUUUUGUCAGUAGUACCUGUCCUUCUACUGUUUUACUUCUUUCUUCCGUCAGAUUACUCUGUUUUUCUUUCCGUCAUUAGUAGCUGUUCUCUCUCUAGUCUUUCUUCCUUCUCCUAUCUUCCUCUGUUUUUGUUUUUCCUCCGUUUUCCCUCCUUCCGUCAAUUAGAUUGAGUAUUUUUUCCUACAUUCUAACAAAUGUCGAUGUAUCUUAAGUUCUUUGCUGCCAUUGAAGUCUAUGGGUUCUUCUUCUUUCCCUUUUCCAUUCUUACUCUGUCUCCGCCAUUUUAUUUUUUUCCCUCUUCUUUUUUCCGUCAAUUCCUUUGUCAGAUGUACUUCUUCUUCUUUUUCUUCUUCUUUUUCUUGUUCUUCUUCUUCUUCUUUUUCUUUACUUAUUCGUCCUAGUCUAAUCACCUGAUUUCUUUUUCACUGUACUCACCUACCUCUUCUACUGUUGACAAUCCAUUUCUUUGUCUUUUAUCUGUUGGCAUCAUAUGUCAUCCUAUACAAUCAAUAUCUUCUCAAAUUAUUCGUUUUAUACACAUUAUGAUAUUCUCAUAAUAUGUAUACUGUCUCCUGUAUUUCGUAGACGUCCUCUGCUAAAAUAUUUUUCAUAUGAAGAAAACCAAAUCUUUGUCUAUCCAACAUCGGUUUUGCCACAUUGUCUUUUUUACUAUUCAUCUGUCAAUAGUCGGGUUUGCCACCUUGUACAAUCUUCCGAUUUCCUUAUUUUUUGUCUUUUUGCCCCAACGUCUACUUCUACAAUCUCCAAACACUUCAUCGUCUUUUUUCUCUAUCUUGUCUAGGUCAUCCUGUUGGAUCGAGAUCCGAGGAUAUAAGGGGGGAUAAUAGCCUCUUUUCGAUUUAUACAGGUUGAUUGCGGAAUUACCUGUAAAUGCUUAAUAAACAAAUGGUUGAACAAUAAUGAUAUAAAUAUAUUAUAAUUUUGAUUGAUAUAAUAAUGUAAUUAUUACUCUUCGAAGCUUACCACAGUAUAUGAAUACUGAGUCAACUUGCUUGAUAGUGUUUUACACACAACUAUAGUAUAUGAAUACUAAGUUAUAUUGUAAACACAAAUUGUAUUGUAGAGUAAAUGACCAGAUAACUGGAUAUAUUGAUAAGCAAGUAAAUGACCAGAUAACUAGAUAUAUUGAUAAGCAAGUAAG